CAGUCGAGCGAACUGACGAGGAGCUUGCUCCUUUGACGUUAGCGGCGGACGGGUGAGUAACACGUGGGUAACCUACCUAUAAGACUGGAAUAACUCCGGGAAACCGGGGCUAAUGCCGGAUAACAUAUCGAACCGCAUGGUUCGAUAGUGAAAGACGGUCUUGCUGUCACUUAUAGAUGGACCCGCGCCGUAUUAGCUAGUUGGUGAGGUAACGGCUCACCAAGGCAACGAUACGUAGCCGACCUGAGAGGGUGAUCGGCCACACUGGAACUGAGACACGGUCCAGACUCCUACGGGAGGCAGCAGUAGGGAAUCUUCCGCAAUGGGCGAAAGCCUGACGGAGCAACGCCGCGUGAGUGAUGAAGGUCUUCGGAUCGUAAAGCUCUGUUGUUAGGGAAGAACAAAUGUGUAAGUAACUGUGCACAUCUUGACGGUACCUAACCAGAAAGCCACGGCUAACUACGUGCCAGCAGCCGCGGUAAUACGUAGGUGGCAAGCGUUAUCCGGAAUUAUUGGGCGUAAAGCGCGCGUAGGCGGUUUUUUAAGUCUGAUGUGAAAGCCCACGGCUCAACCGUGGAGGGUCAUUGGAAACUGGAAAACUUGAGUGCAGAAGAGGAAAGUGGAAUUCCAUGUGUAGCGGUGAAAUGCGCAGAGAUAUGGAGGAACACCAGUGGCGAAAGGCGGCUUUCUGGUCUGUAACUGACGCUGAUGUGCGAAAGCGUGGGGAUCAAACAGGAUUAGAUACCCUGGUAGUCCACGCGUAACGAUGA
RNAcentral lists this ribosomal RNA (770 nucleotides) under Staphylococcus chromogenes. RNAcentral's name for it is "bacterial SSU rRNA". It matches the Rfam family "Bacterial small subunit ribosomal RNA", at positions 59 to 812 of the family's 1533-position model. The record is from RNAcentral. Lineage: Bacteria; Bacillati; Bacillota; Bacilli; Caryophanales; Staphylococcaceae.